RNAcentral lists this transfer RNA (85 nucleotides) under Verrucomicrobiota bacterium. RNAcentral describes it as "Verrucomicrobia bacterium tRNA-Leu". It matches the Rfam family "tRNA". Rfam says of the family: Transfer RNA (tRNA) molecules are approximately 80 nucleotides in length. The record is from RNAcentral. Lineage: Bacteria; Pseudomonadati; Verrucomicrobiota.
GCCGGUGUGGCGAAAUGGCAGACGCAACGGACUUAAAAUCCGUUGGAGAGCAAUCUCCGUGUGGGUUCGAGUCCCACCAUCGGUA